UGUGUUUGUUUUUGUCUCAUCUAUAUUUUGCAAGGUAUUACAGUUGAGCAGAGCCUGAUUUUGUUUCUAAAACGAUUCAUCUUACUGUUAUGAACGAUAGAGAGUUGAGACGCCAAUUGUUUGGGAGGUAUCGCUCAAGGCAUAGCCGCAGUCGGAGCAGAAGUUGAAGUCCUUAUAGGCAUCGCAGCUAUGAUGAGUGCCCUGAUGGAGGUUGUGGGCACAGUAGAAGGUAUGAUGACGAGGAUUACUACCAUGAGAGUCGUAGCAAGAGGAACAGGACUACAAGCCCUGGCCACAGAAGAGGACGAAGCAGGAGCCCGAGGGGAAGAAGGAACCAGAGUCCAGUAAGAGAAGGAAGUGAAGAGAGACAUGCCAAAAUCGGGCAGUGGAACAGGGAAAAGGAACAGUCAGAAAAAGCUAAUAAGGAUAAUACUUAUGGUUCCAACAAUAACAACGAAAGCAAUGAAGAUCAGUACUAUGGAAACCAGCAGCGGCGAGGAUAUGGAUAUUGAUCCAACUAAUAUUUUCUGGUAUGUAUUCUUGUUUUCUUAAAAUUUUGAUGUUUUGGGUUGCUCUUUCAAUAAAAAGUUCCAUUUAAAAAAAGACCCACACAUCCAACAAAGUAGCUUACACCAUUUUCCACUGUGCAGGUGAUGUGCAGGUUCACUGUUCUAUGAUUGGAUAAUUUUUCCCCACCUUUUUUUAUUGGUUUCAUAAUUGCUUUUGAUGUGCUUGAUUUGUGUGCCUUGCAUGCAUGGUGAUAUAAAACCUCCUAGAUCGUUUCCCUUUCACAUUCAUCUGAUCUCUUACUUUUUCCAAUGUUUCUCAUCAUCACUGCUGGUCAUCAACUUUUCAAAUUUCUUUGUUUUAAAAGAGUCCUCCCCCUCCCAUUUCCAAUAAACACUUACUGGCUGUUUUAUAUCUGUUAAUUAUUUUGUAAGUAAGCUGUCUGUCUAUUCUGUUUCAAUUUGUUAACAUAUCCUUUUGGGGCUGUGUUUGAAUCUUAGAUUUGUAGAAAAUUAUUAAAACAAUUAUAUAUUAUGAUUGGAAAUAAGAAUUUUUCAAGAGUUUCUGGUGAGUUAACAAUAAAUUUUUCAAGAGUUUCUGAGAAUUUUCUUCAUGUUGUGUUAGAGAUCUUAGAAAUGUCUCAAAUCUUUCUGAAGAGUUUCCUUUAAAAUUCCUGAGUUUCAUUUUAAUUUCAUGCUAUUUCCUUAUAUUCUUAUUUCUGAUGGAGAUUUUUGUGAAUGAUUGAAAUGUGGUAUGAGGUGUAGUCUUUUGAUGUUUUUGUAUUGAUUGUGAUACUGUUUUCAUUCCACAUAGUAUCAUUUCUGUGUUGUCCCUUUGAACUUAUAAGUAGCGGUGAGCUUCUACUAUUUUAUGUCUUGUUUUAAUAACAGUAAGGGAGUUGAAGCAGCAGUCCUGUAUAGUUGUAAGUCACCAAACAUAUUUACAAUGGCUUUCUGGUCUCCGUCAAGGAAUGGUCAAUUCCUGACUUGUGUGUAGUAGUUAAAGGUUGGGUGUGUGUGAGAGAGAAAUGGGUCUAGUUCAUAUAUUUUGAAACGGAAUCUGCUUGACUUGUAAAACCUAUUAUGUUAUCCACCGAUUGAAAAUUCUUGUUUCCUGGCUUUCCUUUUGGUUUCCCGUCCAAAUUGGAUAGAUUAGAAUUGUAGGACAAAUAACUUGAAGAAGUUCUACUUUGAUACUAUACAUUCUUUAAGUUACAUGGGUUUCCAAAUGUCUUACUACAAGUGAUGCUGUGUAAAAUCGUUAAUUACAUGGGUUUGGUAUUUAGAUGCAUUCCUAUUUUUUGCUUUUAUUGCAUGUGUUGGUAUUUGUUUGCAGUCAGGCACUCUCUGACCACAGCACAUUCCAGGCUAGUUAACAUGCAAUUUUUCAUGUGGUUUCGUAACGGGUUUUGUCUUCUGUCAACUUCCUCUUUUUACGUUAACAAGUUAUGAUCUUACGAUCUUACGGGUAUUACAAGUUUUGCAGGUUCAGGUAUCCCUGCUUCUUAUGGACCGAGGGCUUAUUUUUUACCGAUGAAUUUUUUUACAAGUUUCAUGCUGUGACAGAGGAUUGGAUUUAACUGGGUUUUGCAGAUCACAUUUGAAAGGAUUGUGAAAGACUACCACUGAGUUAGUAAAGUGUGUGGCAGAGAAGAAAUAAAAUUUACUUUUUGGAAGUUAAAAUCUUGUUAAAACAGGUGUUUAAUUGUGUUUUUUGCUUGUAUUUCAUAGGUAUUAAGUCUGCAUGAAACCAAUGUUUCAAUUUGUGUUCUGAUAA
Non-coding RNA from Camellia sinensis, 2283 nucleotides. NCBI's taxonomy places the organism in Eukaryota, Viridiplantae, Streptophyta, Magnoliopsida, Ericales, Theaceae. The record is from RefSeq and is a predicted model, not a curated record.